AUAUUAAAGGAUUCCCUGAGUAAUGGCGAAUGAAAAGGGAAAAGCUCAAGAUUGAAUCGGGUGUCCCUCUGCGGGCAUUUCGAGUUGUAGUCUAUGGACGGUGUGAUGGACACGUAGACCUGGGCAUAAACCUUUGAAAAAAGGUGUCAUAGUAGGUGAUAACCCCAUCUAUGAACUGGUGUUUGCGUGUAUCCUUCAUGUCGUUCCCGAGUAGAGUAGGUUGGAAGUCCUGCUCGAAGACGGGUGGUAAUCAUCAUCCAAAGCUAUAUACAAGCCAGAGACCGAUAGCGCACAAGUA
Molecule: ribosomal RNA, 298 nt
Filed under: uncultured eukaryote
Lineage: Eukaryota
Description: partial large subunit ribosomal RNA
Rfam family: Eukaryotic large subunit ribosomal RNA
Source: RNAcentral